RNAcentral lists this ribosomal RNA (394 nucleotides) under uncultured bacterium. RNAcentral describes it as "partial 16S ribosomal RNA". It matches the Rfam family "Bacterial small subunit ribosomal RNA", at positions 523 to 918 of the family's 1533-position model. The record is from RNAcentral.
AUACGUAGGGGGCUAGCGUUAUCCGGAAUUACUGGGCGUAAAGGGUGCGUAGGUGGUUUCUUAAGUCAGAAGUGAAAGGCUACGGCUCAACCGUAGUAAGCUUUUGAAACUAAGAGACUUGAGUGCAGGAGAGGAGAGUAGAAUUCCUAGUGUAGCGGUGAAAUGCGUAGAUAUUAGGAGGAAUACCAGUUGCGAAGGCGGCGCUCUUGACUGUAACGGACACUAAGGCACGAAAGCGUGGGGAGCAAACAGGAUUAGAUACCCGGGUAGUCCACGCCGUAAACGAUGAGUACUAGCUGUCGGGGGUUACCCCCCUCGGUGGCGCAGCUAACGCAUUAAGUACUCCGCCUGGGAAGUACGCUCGCAAGAGUGAAACUCAAAUUAAUUGACGGGG